This 84-nucleotide transfer RNA is filed under the name Echinostoma caproni. It matches the Rfam family "tRNA". Rfam says of the family: Transfer RNA (tRNA) molecules are approximately 80 nucleotides in length. Their secondary structure includes four short double-helical elements and three loops (D, anti-codon, and T loops). Further hydrogen bonds mediate the characteristic L-shaped molecular structure. tRNAs have two regions of fundamental functional importance: the anti-codon, which is responsible for specific mRNA codon recognition, and the 3' end, to which the tRNAs corresponding amino acid is attached (by aminoacyl-tRNA synthetases). tRNAs cope with the degeneracy of the genetic code in two manners: having more than one tRNA (with a specific anti-codon) for a particular amino acid; and 'wobble' base-pairing, i.e. permitting non-standard base-pairing at the 3rd anti-codon position. The record is from Rfam by way of RNAcentral. Lineage: Eukaryota; Metazoa; Platyhelminthes; Trematoda; Plagiorchiida; Echinostomatidae.
GUCCUCGUGGCUCAUCUGAUAGAGCGUGCGUUGUACAAAAGCGUAGGCGUCGUCCAAACGUGGGUUCGAAUCCCACCGAGGCCA